RNAcentral lists this ribosomal RNA (432 nucleotides) under uncultured bacterium. Its description in RNAcentral is "partial 16S ribosomal RNA". It matches the Rfam family "Bacterial small subunit ribosomal RNA", at positions 29 to 507 of the family's 1533-position model. The record is from RNAcentral.
AACGAACGCUGGCGGCAUGCCUAACACAUGCAAGUCGAACGAGACCUUCGGGUCAAGUGGCGCACGGGUGCGUAACGCGUGGGAACCUGCCCUUAGGUUCGGAAUAACUCCCCGAAAGGGGUGCUAAUACCGGAUAAUGUCUUCGGACCAAAGAUUUAUCGCCUUUGGAUGGGCCCGCGUUGGAUUAGCUAGUUGGUAGGGUAAAAGCCUACCAAGGCGACGAUCCAUAGCUGGUCUGAGAGGAUGAUCAGCCACACUGGGACUGAGACACGGCCCAGACUCCUACGGGAGGCAGCAGUGGGGAAUAUGGACAAUGGGCGAAAGCCUGAUCCAGCAAUGCCGCGUGAGUGAUGAAGGCCUUAGGGUUGUAAAGCUCUUUUACCCGGGAUGAUAAUGACAGUACCGGGAGAAUAAGCUCCGGCUAACUCCGUG